Molecule: ribosomal RNA, 433 nt
Filed under: uncultured bacterium
Lineage: Bacteria
Description: partial 16S ribosomal RNA
Rfam family: Bacterial small subunit ribosomal RNA
Source: RNAcentral
AACGAACGCUGGCGGCAGGCCUAACACAUGCAAGUCGAGCGAGGACUUCGGUCCUAGCGGCGGACGGGUGAGUAACGCGUGGGAACGUGCCCUUUGCUUCGGAAUAGCCCUGGGAAACUGGGAGUAAUACCGGAUGAGCCCUUUGGGGGAAAGAUUUAUCGGCGAAGGAUCGGCCCGCGUUGGAUUAGGUAGUUGGUGGGGUAAUGGCCUACCAAGCCGACGAUCCAUAGCUGGUUUGAGAGGAUGAUCAGCCACACUGGGACUGAGACACGGCCCAGACUCCUACGGGAGGCAGCAGUGGGGAGUCUUAGACAAUGGGGGAAACCCUGAUCUAGCCAUGCCGCGUGAGCGAUGAAGGCCUUAGGGUUGUAAAGCUCUUUCAGCUGGGAAGAUAAUGACGGUACCAGCAGAAGAAGCCCCGGCUAACUCCGUG